GAGAGAGGCACGCUAGCAACAGAGACUGCUAAUCUUUGCCCCCUUGGUUGAACUCCAAGGCUCACUUG
This 68-nucleotide transfer RNA is filed under the name Gerres decacanthus (small Chinese silver-biddy). RNAcentral's name for it is "tRNA-Ser". Lineage: Eukaryota; Metazoa; Chordata; Actinopteri; Gerreiformes; Gerreidae. The record is from RNAcentral.